GAGUUUGAUCUUGGCUCAGAUUGAACGCUGGCGGCAUGCCUUACACAUGCAAGUCGAGCGGCAGCGCGGGGGCAACCCUGGCGGCGAGCGGCGAACGGGUGAGUAAUACAUCGGAACGUGUCCAGUAGCGGGGGAUAACCUCUCGAAAGAGAGGCUAAUACCGCAUACGACCUACGGGUGAAAGCGGGGGACCGCAAGGCCUCGCACUAUUGGAGCGGCCGAUGUCGGAUUAGCUAGUUGGCGGGGUAAAAGCCCACCAAGGCGACGAUCCGUAGCUGGUCUGAGAGGACGAUCAGCCACACUGGAACUGAGACACGGUCCAGACUCCUACGGGAGGCAGCAGUGGGGAAUUUUGGACGAUGGGGGCAACCCUGAUCCAGCCAUGCCGCGUGAGUGAAGAAGGCCUUC
This 408-nucleotide ribosomal RNA is filed under the name uncultured beta proteobacterium. RNAcentral's name for it is "bacterial SSU rRNA". It matches the Rfam family "Bacterial small subunit ribosomal RNA", at positions 9 to 419 of the family's 1533-position model. Lineage: Bacteria; Pseudomonadati; Pseudomonadota; Betaproteobacteria. The record is from RNAcentral.